RNAcentral lists this ribosomal RNA (451 nucleotides) under uncultured bacterium. Its description in RNAcentral is "bacterial SSU rRNA". It matches the Rfam family "Bacterial small subunit ribosomal RNA", at positions 29 to 524 of the family's 1533-position model. The record is from RNAcentral.
AACGAACGCUGGCGGCAUGCCUAACACAUGCAAGUCGAACGAGACCUUCGGGUCUAGUGGCGCACGGGUGCGUAACGCGUGGGAAUCUGCCCUUAGGUUCGGAAUAACUUCGGGAAACUGAAGCUAAUACCGGAUGAUGACGUAAGUCCAAAGAUUUAUCGCCUAAGGAUGAGCCCCGCGUUGGAUUAGCUAGUUGGUGAGGUAAAGGCUCACCAAGGCGACGAUCCAUAGCUGGUCUGAGAGGAUGAUCAGCCACACUGGGACUGAGACACGGCCCAGACUCCUACGGGAGGCAGCAGUGGGGAAUAUUGGACAAUGGGCGAAAGCCUGAUCCAGCAAUGCCGCGUGAGUGAUGAAGGCCUUAGGGUUGUAAAGCUUUUUUACCCGGGAUGAUAAUGACAGUACCGGGAGAAUAAGCUCCGGCUAACUCCGUGCCAGCAGCCGCGGUAAU